UACGGAGGGUGCAAGCGUUAUCCGGAUUCACUGGGUUUAAAGGGUGCGCAGGCGGCCAAGUGUGUGAGGCGUGAAAGCCUGGGGCUUAACUCCAGAAUUGCACCUCAAACUACAUGGCUAGAGCAUUGGAGAGGGUAGCAGAAUUCACGGUGUAGCAGUGAAAUGCGUAGAUAUCGUGAGGAAUACCAGAGGCGAAGGCGGCUACCUGGACAAUUGCUGACGCUCAGGCACGAAAGCGUGGGGAGCAAAAGGG
This 253-nucleotide ribosomal RNA is filed under the name uncultured bacterium. Its description in RNAcentral is "partial 16S ribosomal RNA". It matches the Rfam family "Bacterial small subunit ribosomal RNA", at positions 524 to 776 of the family's 1533-position model. The record is from RNAcentral.